AGAAUUCCAGUGAAUCAUCGAAUCUUUGAACGCACAUUGCGCUCCCUGGGUAUUCCGGGGAGCAUGCCUGUUCGAGCGUCAUUACAACCCUCAAGCACUGCUUGGUAUUGGGCGUCAUCAGCGAUGAUGAGCCUUAAAGUUAAUGGCGGCACUGCCUAGCUCUAAGCGUAGUAAAUCUCUCGCUACAGAGUCCUGGAAGGCGCCUGCCCUCAGCCAUAAUUAUCUCGUGGUUGACCUCGGAUCAGGUAGGGAUACCCGCUGAACUUAAGCAUAUCAAUAAGCGGAGGAAAAGAAACCAACAGGGAUUACCUCAGUAACGGCGAGUGAAGCGGUAACAGCUCAAAUUUGAAAUCUGGGUCUUUCAGGCUCCGAGUUGUAAUUUGUAGAAGAUGCUUCGAGCGUGGCCCUAGUCUAAGUUCCUUGGAACAGGACGUCACAGAGGGUGAGAAUCCCGUACGUGAUUAGGCGCCUAUGCUCAUGUGAAGCUCUUUCAACGAGUCGAGUUGUUUGGGAAUGCAGCUCAAAAUGGGUGGUAUAUUUCAUCUAAAGCUAAAUAUUGGCCAGAGACCGAUAGCGCACAAGUAGAGUGAUCGAAAGAUGAAAAGCACUUUGGAAAGAGAGUUAAACAGUACGUGAAAUUGUUGAAAGGGAAGCGCUUGUAACCAGACUUGCGCGUUGUCGAUCAUCUGAUGUUCUCAUCAGUGCACACGACCUCGCUCAGGCCAGCAUCAGUUCUGGUGGUUGGAUAAAGGCCUUGGGAAUGUAGCUUCUCUCGGGGAGUGUUAUAGCCCUCGGUGCAAUGCAGCCUACCGGGACUGAGGACCGCGCUUCGGCUAGG
Molecule: ribosomal RNA, 838 nt
Filed under: uncultured Helotiales
Lineage: Eukaryota; Fungi; Ascomycota; Leotiomycetes; Helotiales
Description: eukaryotic LSU rRNA
Rfam family: Eukaryotic large subunit ribosomal RNA (bases 232-838)
Source: RNAcentral